This 209-nucleotide unclassified non-coding RNA is filed under the name soil metagenome. RNAcentral's name for it is "partial contains 5.8S ribosomal RNA, internal transcribed spacer 2, and large subunit ribosomal RNA". The record is from RNAcentral.
AACCUUAUGGACCUGCGGGCGUAUACCUGCGGAAGGAUCAUUACCGAGCGAGGGCCUCCGGGUCCGACCUCCAACCCCAUGUUAUUCGACCCUGUUGCCUCGGGGGCGACCCGGCCUUCGGGCGUCGGGGCCCCCGGUGGACCACUCAACUCUGCAUCAUUGCGUCCGAGUCACAUAUUGAAUCAAUCAAAACUUUCAGCAACGGAUCU